RNAcentral lists this ribosomal RNA (253 nucleotides) under uncultured bacterium. RNAcentral describes it as "partial 16S ribosomal RNA". It matches the Rfam family "Bacterial small subunit ribosomal RNA", at positions 524 to 776 of the family's 1533-position model. The record is from RNAcentral.
UACGUAGGGACCAAGCGUUGUUCGGAUUUACUGGGCGUAAAGGGCGCGUAGGCGGCUUAACAAGUCACUUGUGAAAUCUCCGGGCUUAACUCGGAACGGCCAAGUGAAACUGUCAAGCUAGAGUGCAGAAGGGGCAAUCGGAAUUCUUGGCGUAGCGGUGAAAUGCGUAGAUAUCAAGAGGAACACCUGAGGUGAAGACGGGUUGCUGGGCUGACACUGACGCUGAGGCGCGAAAGCCAGGGGAGCAAACGGG